UAAUACGGAGGAUCCAAGCGUUAUCCGGAAUCAUUGGGUUUAAAGGGUCCGUAGGUGGACGAUUAAGUCAGGGGUGAAAUCUUGCAGCUCAACUGUAAAAUUGCCCUUGAUACUGGUUGUCUUGAAUCAUUGUGAAGUGGUUAGAAUAUGUAGUGUAGCGGUGAAAUGCAUAGAUAUUACAUAGAAUACCGAUUGCGAAGGCAGAUCACUAACGGUGCAUUGACACUGAUGGACGAAAGCGUGGGGAGCGAACAGGAUUAGAUACCCUGGUAGUCCACGCCGUAAACGAUGGAUACUAGCUGUCCGGCGCAAGCUGGGUGGCUAAGCGAAAGUGAUAAGUAUCCCACCUGGGGAGUACGUUCGCAAGAAUGAAACUUAAAUGAAUUGACGG
Molecule: ribosomal RNA, 391 nt
Filed under: uncultured bacterium
Lineage: Bacteria
Description: bacterial SSU rRNA
Rfam family: Bacterial small subunit ribosomal RNA
Source: RNAcentral